This 433-nucleotide ribosomal RNA is filed under the name uncultured bacterium. Its description in RNAcentral is "partial 16S ribosomal RNA". It matches the Rfam family "Bacterial small subunit ribosomal RNA", at positions 29 to 507 of the family's 1533-position model. The record is from RNAcentral.
AACGAACGCUGGCGGCAUGCCUAACACAUGCAAGUCGAACGAGACCUUCGGGUCUAGUGGCGCACGGGUGCGUAACGCGUGGGAAUCUGCCCUUGGGUUCGGAAUAACAGUUGGAAACGACUGCUAAUACCGGAUGAUGACGUAAGUCCAAAGAUUUAUCGCCCAGGGAUGAGCCCGCGUAGGAUUAGCUAGUUGGUGGGGUAAAGGCCUACCAAGGCGACGAUCCUUAGCUGGUCUGAGAGGAUGAUCAGCCACACUGGGACUGAGACACGGCCCAGACUCCUACGGGACGCAGCAGUGGGGAAUAUUGGACAAUGGGGGAAAGCCUGAUCCAGCAAUGCCGCGUGAGUGAUGAAGGCCUUAGGGUUGUAAAGCUCUUUUACCCGGGAUGAUAAUGACAGUACCGGGAGAAUAAGCCCCGGCUAACUCCGUG